UACGAAGGGGGCUAGCGUUGCUCGGAAUCACUGGGCGUAAAGCGCACGUAGGCGGAUUGUUAAGUCAGGGGUGAAAUCCUGGAGCUCAACUCCAGAACUGCCUUUGAUACUGGCGAUCUUGAGUCCGGGAGAGGUGAGUGGAACUCCGAGUGUAGAGGUGAAAUUCGUAGAUAUCGGGAAGAACACCCGUGGCGAAGGCGGCACUCUGGGACGGUACUGACGCUGAGACGCGAAAGCGUGGGGAGCGAACAGG
This 253-nucleotide ribosomal RNA is filed under the name uncultured bacterium. Its description in RNAcentral is "partial 16S ribosomal RNA". It matches the Rfam family "Bacterial small subunit ribosomal RNA", at positions 524 to 776 of the family's 1533-position model. The record is from RNAcentral.